UUCUAACUGGCAGGGACGUGGAAAUCUCUGUGGGGUCCUGCAGAACGAGGCUCAGCAGCACUUCACAUCAUAUCCAGAAGCUGGAGUCCUUAAGUGGGUGGCACAGAGCUGAAGACAGGGGGAGAAAAGCAGGACCUGAUCUGGAAGGGAGGUUGAUUCCUACCAUGAAGAGAGAAAUAGGAAUCAGGACCCUGCCUCUGUUAGUUCACAGCUGCUGCAAAAACACAAUGACAAGAUCAAUCAUUACAAAUAGGUAGGAGCUUAUUGGCUGCCGUGGGGCCAGGGUGCCUGGCCUGUGUCCUUACCAGUGGAAGGUGAUUUAGUGAGUCUGCUUCGAUGAUCUGCUGUUCACAGUGUGAGACUGAAUUUUGCACCCUAG
Long non-coding RNA from Melospiza melodia melodia, 379 nucleotides. RefSeq lists it as uncharacterized. The transcript has 3 exons. The record is from RefSeq and is a predicted model, not a curated record. Lineage: Eukaryota; Metazoa; Chordata; Aves; Passeriformes; Passerellidae.